Molecule: unclassified non-coding RNA, 408 nt
Filed under: Hevea brasiliensis (rubber tree)
Lineage: Eukaryota; Viridiplantae; Streptophyta; Magnoliopsida; Malpighiales; Euphorbiaceae
Source: RNAcentral
UUUGUUGGACGAUACAUUUUGCAACUCAUUUUACAUUUGCCGUUGCAAAUGGCGCUGCAUAUCCAAGAUCUUGUUGCUGCUCUUGCUAGGCGAAUGCAAACAGCUCAAAUAGCAGGAUUGAGAAGCUCCUUGUUACUUAUUUUUGCUAGAUUGGUCCAUAUGAGUGCCCCUAAUGUUGAACAGUUCAUAGAUAUGCUGAUCAGUAUCCCUGCCGCAGGCUAUGAAAAUUCCUUUGUUUAUGUAAUGUCAGAAUGGACUAAACAACAAGGGGAGAUACAAGGGGCUUAUCAAAUUAAGGUUUCAACCACUGCUUUGGCCUUGCUGCUAUCCACGAGACAUACUGAACUAGGGAAAGUUAAUGUACAGGGUCAUUUGCUGAAGUCUGAUGCAGGGAUAACUACUCGCUCG